UGGGGGUCCCUUCCAACUCAGGAUAUUCUGUGAUUUCACAGUGUAGGGAAGAUGUGGAGAAUUACCCAAAACAAUGGGAGCCUGCUUGGGAAGGGGGCAGGGAAGUGCCUCGUGGAUCAGGGGUUCUGUGUGUCAGAUUCCCUUGGGUUUGUGUUUUUGGAAACAUUAUAAUACAAAGCAGCUAAAAAAGGUGAAACAGAGUGGAACAGCUUGAUCAACCCAACAGAUACCUGGCCUAUGGAAACUCUGGUUGGCACUGAUCUCCCUCUUUUAUUAACUUCACCAUCUCCUGCUACACCUGCAACAGGCCUGUGACCCUCCCUCCUUCC
This 329-nucleotide long non-coding RNA is filed under the name Manacus vitellinus (golden-collared manakin). Its description in RNAcentral is "lncRNA (ENSMVIG00005015776.1)". Lineage: Eukaryota; Metazoa; Chordata; Aves; Passeriformes; Pipridae. The record is from RNAcentral.